MicroRNA precursor from Gallus gallus (chicken), 74 nucleotides. Ensembl annotates it as gga-mir-34c. Its record names the gene gga-mir-34c. The record is from Ensembl. NCBI's taxonomy places the organism in Eukaryota, Metazoa, Chordata, Aves, Galliformes, Phasianidae.
AGCCUGGUUACCAGGCAGUGUAGUUAGCUGAUUGCCACCAGGACCAAUCACUAACCACACAGCCAGGUAAAAAG